GUCCGCACUGUAAACGAUGAUUACUCGCUGCUAGUGGGCAACUCUUAGUGGCUUAGCGAAAGCGAUAAGUAAUCCACCUGGGGAGUACGCCGGCAACGGUGAAACUCAAAGGAAUUGACGGGGGCCCGCACAAGCGGAGGAGCAUGUGGUUUAAUUCGAUGAUACGCGAGGAACCUUACCAGGGCUUGAAAGUUAGUGACCGUCUCUGAAAGGAGACUUUCCGCAAGGACACGAAACUAGGUGCUGCAUGGCUGUCGU
This 258-nucleotide ribosomal RNA is filed under the name uncultured bacterium. RNAcentral describes it as "partial 16S ribosomal RNA". It matches the Rfam family "Bacterial small subunit ribosomal RNA", at positions 793 to 1055 of the family's 1533-position model. The record is from RNAcentral.